GGGUGCAAGCGUUAAUCGGAAUUACUGGGCGUAAAGCGCGCGUAGGUGGUUGGUUAAGUUGGAUGUGAAAGCCCCGGGCUCAACCUGGGAACUGCAUCCAAAACUGGGCGACUAGAGUACAGUAGAGGGUGGUGGAAUUUCCUGUGUAGCGGUGAAAUGCGUAGAUAUAGGAAGGAACACCAGUGGCGAAGGCGACCACCUGGACUGAUACUGACACUGAGGUGCGAAAGCGUGGGGAGCAA
This 242-nucleotide ribosomal RNA is filed under the name uncultured Pseudomonas sp. RNAcentral describes it as "partial 16S ribosomal RNA". It matches the Rfam family "Bacterial small subunit ribosomal RNA", at positions 530 to 771 of the family's 1533-position model. Lineage: Bacteria; Pseudomonadati; Pseudomonadota; Gammaproteobacteria; Pseudomonadales; Pseudomonadaceae. The record is from RNAcentral.